RNAcentral lists this ribosomal RNA (431 nucleotides) under uncultured bacterium. RNAcentral describes it as "partial 16S ribosomal RNA". It matches the Rfam family "Bacterial small subunit ribosomal RNA", at positions 29 to 507 of the family's 1533-position model. The record is from RNAcentral.
AACGAACGCUGGCGGCAGGCUUAACACAUGCAAGUCGAGCGCCCCGCCAGGGGAGCGGCCGACGGGUGAGUACCGCGUGGGAACGUACCUUUUGGUUCGGAACAACUCCGGGAAACUGGAGCUAAUACCGGAUAAGCCCUAACGGGGAAAGAUUUAUCGCCGAAAGAUCGGCCCGCGUCUGAUUAGCUAGUUGGUGAGGUAACGGCUCACCAAGGCGACGAUCAGUAGCUGGUCUGAGAGGAUGAUCAGCCACACUGGGACUGAGACACGGCCCAGACUCCUACGGGAGGCAGCAGUGGGGAAUAUUGGAAAAUGGGCGCAAGCCUGAUCCAGCCAUGCCGCGUGAGUGAUGAAGGCCUUAGGGUUGUAAAGCUCUUUUGUCCGGGAAGAUAAUGACUGUACCGGAAGAAUAAGCCCCGGCUAACUUCGUG